AACGCACAUUGCACCUUGAAGUAUUCUUCUAGGUAUACCUGUUUGAGCGUCGUUUAAAACUAUAAAGCUUUGCUUUUUAUUAGAUUUUGGGUUAGAAUUAGAUUUUUACCCAAUUUCUUAAACAUAGUGGCGUUGAUUUGUUAGCCAAUACACAGUGAAAAUGUGUAAAAAGUAAAUAAAGUCAACUUUGCCAGUACUUGAGUGUAAACUCAGUGUUUCGACCUCAAAUCAAGUAAGACUACCCGCUGAACUUAA
This 255-nucleotide unclassified non-coding RNA is filed under the name uncultured Entoloma. RNAcentral describes it as "partial contains 5.8S ribosomal RNA, internal transcribed spacer 2, and large subunit ribosomal RNA". The record is from RNAcentral. Lineage: Eukaryota; Fungi; Basidiomycota; Agaricomycetes; Agaricales; Entolomataceae.